This is a long non-coding RNA of Zeugodacus cucurbitae (melon fly), 1385 nucleotides long. RefSeq lists it as uncharacterized. The transcript has 3 exons. NCBI's taxonomy places the organism in Eukaryota, Metazoa, Arthropoda, Insecta, Diptera, Tephritidae. The record is from RefSeq and is a predicted model, not a curated record.
GAGAGCUCUCGGAGAAUAUGUAAGUAAAUAUGUAUACUGUACUGCACUGUACGUAAUAUACAAAGUGCAAGGCGGAAUAAGGUAUAAACGAAAUUACAAAUAGUUUGUAUUUAAUUCGUGUUAAGUACAAUAUUUGCUUCUUCACACUGUUAUUCCGUUUCGCACUUGUAAAUUAUUUUUAAAAGAAAUAUAUUUAAAUAUAUUUAGGGUCACUUUACUUACAAUAUUUUUCACGUAUCCUGAGUAUGAGUUUGUUGUAGUUGGUAAGUGUUUGUUGUUGCGGUAGGAUUUGCCUGCGGGUUAUUCCAACGAUGUUAUUGUUGUUGGUGGGUCGAUGAAUAUUCAAAUCCCGAGUACAAAUGUUGGUUAAUUGGGUGGGUUCUUAUUUAUCGAGCACCGAUCCGGCUCGAAUGGACCAAAAUGUCGAGGUACUCGACGUUGAGUUGCCGAUGUGCCAAAUAAAAUAAGAUGAUUAGUUUUGAUAUAAUUUAAGUUUUGUGUAUUUGGUAGGUGGCCUAUAGAUUGAAACUGGGAGACCAUUAAACCAAAUUGAAGUAACGAAACGGUGACCCAAUCAAUGACCAACAAAUAUCUUUCCUGUGACUAAAGGAUGAGCCUGAAAAUGAUAAAUCAAAAAAUCUCCACUGAUUAAAUAAAAAGCUACUACAGAGGGCUCUGCUACCCACAACUUUCCAAAACAAUAGAAAAAUUAGAGCAGACAAACGUAUACAGGAUAUGCACCAAAUUCAAUAAGAAAGAGCGAGCAAGAUAAUAGCACAGACAUGCCGUAACUAAUACGCCAAAAGAAAAGUAACUCUACUCGUCUUGUGCUUAAGGCAGACAUAUCGUUUCCGUACUGCGAUGUGUACGACAAUAAAAGCUGAAGAAACCAUGUAUCAGCAUAGUGACACACAUGUAGUAUUACACUAUGUUUACAUCCAUCAGCUGAUACAAAUAAAUUCAAGCAAAAUAUAAUAAUGAAUAACAGGCAGGAAAAUUGAUCCCGACUUAGUUAUAACUUCAUGCAAUCUUAAAAUAUUAUUGUCCAUUAUAUAUAUGGCGCGUUGGGCACUUUUGUGGGUGAGCAUUUUCAGCCGUUCUCGCGACUGAUGAGAUUUUACACAGAUAUACUCCGCGUGUAUUCUUAUAAUAUAUGUAUACUAUACACACUCUUUGCAUGGGCAUUCGUUCGUACUCUCGCGACAGACGAGAUUACAUACCUAUAUGUUUACUCAGAGUGUUUAGGUAUGCGAGAGCGCUGCAUGCUAUACGCAAUCUUUGCAUGGGCAUUCGUUCGUGCCCUCGUGAGAGAUGAGAUUGAGAGUUUUUUAUAUUUAUUUAUAUUAUAUUUUAAUGAAUAUUAAACGGAAAAUUUAUUAAUUUAA